This 474-nucleotide ribosomal RNA is filed under the name uncultured organism. Its description in RNAcentral is "partial 16S ribosomal RNA". It matches the Rfam family "Bacterial small subunit ribosomal RNA", at positions 335 to 800 of the family's 1533-position model. The record is from RNAcentral.
ACUCCUGCGGGAGGCAGCAGUAGGGAAUCUUCGGCAAUGGGGGCAACCCUGACCGAGCAACGCCGCGUGAGUGAAGAAGGUUUUCGGAUCGUAAAGCUCUGUUGUAAGUCAAGAACGAGUGUGAGAGUGGAAAGUUCACACUGUGACGGUAGCUUACCAGAAAGGGACGGCUAACUACGUGCCAGCAGCCGCGGUAAUACGUAGGUCCCGAGCGUUGUCCGGAUUUAUUGGGCGUAAAGCGAGCGCAGGCGGUUUGAUAAGUCUGAAGUUAAAGGCUGUGGCUCAACCAUAGUUCGCUUUGGAAACUGUCAAACUUGAGUGCAGAAGGGGAGAGUGGAAUUCCAUGUGUAGCGGUGAAAUGCGUAGAUAUAUGGAGGAACACCGGUGGCGAAAGCGGCUCUCUGGUCUGUAACUGACGCUGAGGCUCGAAAGCGUGGGGAGCGAACAUGAUUAGAUACCCCGGUAGUCCCAUGA